AAUGAACGUUGGCGGCGUGGAUUAGGCAUGCAAGUCGCGCGAGAAAUUUCCUUCGGGAAAUGGACAGCGGCGGAAGGGAGAGGAAUAAGUAGAAAUCUGCCCUCGGGACGGGGAUAGCGGUGGGAAACUGCCGGUAAUACCCGAUAACAUCUUUGGAUCAAAUGGUGUGAUUCCGCCUGAGGAUGAGUCUACUUCCUAUUAGCUAGUUGGUGGGGUAAUGGCCUACCAAGGCAACGAUGGGUAGCGGGUGUGAGAGCACGACCCGCCUCACUGGGACUGAGACACUGCCCAGACACCUACGGGUGGCUGCAGUCGAGAAUCUUCGGCAAUGGGGGAAACCCGUGACCGAGCGACGCCGCGUGCGGGAUGAAGGCCCUUGGGUUGUAAACCGCUGUCGUAAGGGAACAAAUCCAUAGGGGUACUCCCCUAUGGUUGAGUGAUCUUAGGAGGAAGGACGGGCUAAGUUCGUGCCAGCAGCCGCGGUAAAGU
RNAcentral lists this ribosomal RNA (489 nucleotides) under uncultured bacterium. RNAcentral's name for it is "bacterial SSU rRNA". It matches the Rfam family "Bacterial small subunit ribosomal RNA", at positions 29 to 526 of the family's 1533-position model. The record is from RNAcentral.